This 253-nucleotide ribosomal RNA is filed under the name uncultured bacterium. Its description in RNAcentral is "partial 16S ribosomal RNA". It matches the Rfam family "Bacterial small subunit ribosomal RNA", at positions 524 to 776 of the family's 1533-position model. The record is from RNAcentral.
UACGGAGGGUGCAAGCGUUAUCCGGAUUUAUUGGGUUUAAAGGGUCCGCAGGCGGACUUGUAAGUCAGUGGUGAAAGCCUUCAGCUUAACUGGAGAAUUGCCAUUGAUACUGCUAGUCUUGAGUUCGGUUGAAGUGGGCGGAAUAUGUAGUGUAGCGGUGAAAUGCAUAGAUAUUACAUAGAACACCUAUUGCGAAGGCAGCUCACUAAGCCGAUACUGACGCUCAGGGACGAAAGCGUGGGGAGCGAACAGG